GUCUUUUUCCAUAUAUUAUUCAAUUGCCUGUUCCGGGUGCCGUAUUCUCCUUCCUGCAGGAUAUGAACCUGGCUGCCAGCAUUCUUGGAACUAAGCAGGGGAAGGGGUGAGGAGGCCUCCCCAUUCAGCAUGCAGGCUUUUAUAUCAUCCUUGUCUUCAAUCCACCUCAUCAUCUCACCUUCUGCUCAGCCUACUGCCCCUUCAGACACCUCUCACCUGUUAAUAUGCCUCUAGAAUACACACUCUACAUUUGAUCUUAGCCCAAAGGCCAAGAAGUGAUUGAAGAAUACAUACUUUAAAUAUGCUCAAAUGAAACAAUUAUAAAAAAGAAAAGAUUUUCUGGCAAUAGUUUAUUAAGUAACUCUUGGGUGACAGAACUGAUUGCUUAUUAAGUGAGACCAGGACAGAUGUUUGGGGCAGGGCGAUAGCAUUUUAACCUUUUGUGCAGGAAGCCAAUAAGACAAUAUGCUCUCCUUUGGGCAGUCGCUUGCUGCCACUGCCAGAGACAAUACCAGGUAGGAUGUGGCAAUUCAGAUGUUCUCACACCCGGACACCAGGUGUUUCCAGAAAGUCUCCAGACAGAGAUUAUCAUGAGGAUUGCGAGUAUCUGGGGGUCAACCUACAGGCAGCAUUCCUUGGGUACUCCCAGCAAGAGCCAUUCUUUGUGGAGGCGGUGGAGCUUCUGCCAUUUAAACAGUGGCUACCUUUUGGAGAAAAAUGGGAUUUUCUCCAAGGAUGAGUUAUACUGCAAGAUUCUGGACUAGUAUGUGAAUGUGGAACUGCAGCUGGCAGGCUCCAAGGCAGUAGGAGGGCACCUGGAUGUGACAGCUGCUGGCCAAUCCCUGCCCAGUACUGUGGCUCAGUCUGUGCAGCAGGCUGUCGGUUUGGAGUUUUGGUGACAUUUAUGAGCUGAUACUUAGAAAAGUCAGAGAAUGCCGUGAAAGAUGCCUAAGAGGCUGGAGAUGACCCAGCCUAAACUGCUGGACUGCCGUUGCCCAAUCACAGUGCCUGGUGUAUUUUCUGGGACCAUUUUUUGAUGUUUGAGCUGAGACAUUAAAGGCAGUUAAUACGUGGCUAAGAAUGCAUAUUUGGAGGCUUGCUUGGGACCAAAUUCUAGGUCAACUACUUGUUACUUGGGCAAGUUGCUCAAGUGUUCUCGUGGAGAUUUCCUUACAUGUAUGGUGAGGUAAUAAUGAUGCUGUGAGACUUAAAGGCAUUCAUGUCAUUCAAAGUAACACAAAAUAUCACUUAUCGCUCAGCAUGCAGGAGGCACUUAACAAGCAUUCACUUUUUAUUAAUUUUAUUAUUUAGAGAAAAAUCUCAGCUAGAAAUUGCAUUGGACUGCUAGUGAAAGACUGUAAAUAACUGUGGCUUAAACAAAAUAGGAGUUUUAUUGUAUUAUUAUUUUUCUGUUUUAUAAAAGAAGUCCAGAGGUGUGAAGCCCAAAAUUGGCAUGAGGGACCCAUAUGGGUUAUUCUGUCCACCUGCUCUGCCAUCCGCAGUGUAUGGCUUCCAUUUCUAGGUUGCUCAUGGUCUAACACAGCUACUGAAAGUCCAGCCAUCAUGUGUGUGUUCAGGCAGGAAGCAGGAGGAAGUGGUGAAGAACAAGAUGAGAGGAACAAUUUCCAGCUAACCUGUCCCCCUUGAAAGAGUUUUUCUGUGUACUGUCCCCCGAAAUCUUCUACUCACAUUUCCUUAGCUAAAUAAUGUCAUGUGACCAUAUAGUUUUAAAGAAUGCUCAAAAAUGUAGUUAAUCCAAUAAAAUUGGAGUUGUUUUUAUUCA
This is a long non-coding RNA of Vulpes vulpes (red fox), 1783 nucleotides long. NCBI's taxonomy places the organism in Eukaryota, Metazoa, Chordata, Mammalia, Carnivora, Canidae. The record is from Ensembl.